Molecule: ribosomal RNA, 450 nt
Filed under: uncultured bacterium
Lineage: Bacteria
Description: bacterial SSU rRNA
Rfam family: Bacterial small subunit ribosomal RNA
Source: RNAcentral
AACGAACGCUGGCGGCAGGCCUAACACAUGCAAGUCGAACGCCCUAGCAAUAGGGAGUGGCGCACGGGUGCGUAACGCGUGGGAAUAUGCCCUUCACUUCGGAAUAACGUUUGGAAACGAACGCUAAUACCGCAUAAUGACUCCGGUCCAAAGAUUUAUCGGUGAAGGAUUAGCCCGCGUUAGAUUAGCUAGUUGGUGAGGUAAUGGCUCACCAAGGCGACGAUCUAUAGCUGGUCUGAGAGGAUGAUCAGCCACACUGGGACUGAGACACGGCCCAGACUCCUACGGGAGGCAGCAGUGAGGAAUAUUGGACAAUGGGCGCAAGCCUGAUCCAGCCAUGCCGCGUGAGUGAAGAAGGCCUUCGGGUUGUAAAGCUCUUUCAGAUGUGAAGAUAAUGACGGUAGCAUCAGAAGAAGCCCCGGCUAAAUUCGUGCCAGCAGCCGCGGUAAU